RNAcentral lists this ribosomal RNA (1265 nucleotides) under Troglosiro pseudojuberthiei. Its description in RNAcentral is "partial large subunit ribosomal RNA". It matches the Rfam family "Eukaryotic large subunit ribosomal RNA", at positions 666 to 1852 of the family's 3401-position model. Lineage: Eukaryota; Metazoa; Arthropoda; Arachnida; Opiliones; Troglosironidae. The record is from RNAcentral.
CCAAGGAGUCUAACAUGUGCGCGAGUCAUCGGGUCUUGUUUAGGCCCGUAGGCGGAAUGAAAGUGAAGGGCGAUUCAGUCGUCUGCGUUGGGAUUUUGAUCACUCGUGGUCAAAAGCACCAACGGCCCGUCCCAAUCGCCGCGUCGAUGGGGCGGAGCGAGAGCGUACACGUUGGGACCCGAAAGAUGGUGAACUAUGCCUGGGCAGGACGAAGCCAGAGGAAACUCUGGUGGAGGUCCGCAGCGAUUCUGACGUGCAAAUCGAUCGUCAGACCUGGGUAUAGGGGCGAAAGACUAAUCGAACCAUCUAGUAGCUGGUUCCCUCCGAAGUUUCCCUCAGGAUAGCUGGCGCUCGGAGGAGUCAUUCUCAUCCGGUAAAGCGAAUGAUUAGAGGCCUUGGGGCCGAAACGACCUCAACCUAUUCUCAAACUUUAAAUGGGUGAGAAGUCCGGCUUGCUCGACUGAAGCCCGGACGCAAGGAUGCGAGUGCCCAGUGGGCCACUUUUGGUAAGCAGAACUGGCGCUGUGGGAUGAACCAAACGCCGGGUUAAGGCGCCCGAUGCGAGACGCUCAUGAGACCCCAUGAAAGGUGUUGGUUGCUAUAGACAGCAGGACGGUGGCCAUGGAAGUCGGAAUCCGCUAAGGAGUGUGUAACAACUCACCUGCCGAAGCAACUAGCCCUGAAAAUGGAUGGCGCUUCAGCGUCGAGCCCAUACCCGGCCGUCGCGGCUGCAGGUUGUACCUUAGGUCGCGGCGAGUAGGAGGGCGCAGGGGUGUGCGUUGAAGGUGCCGGGCGUGAGCCCGUCUGGAGCCGCCCCUGGUGCAGAUCUUGGUGGUAGUAGCAAAUACUCAAGUGAGAACCUUGAGGACUGAGGUGGAGAAGGGUUCCAUGUGAACAGCAGUUGAACAUGGGUCAGUCGGUCCUAAGGGAUAGGAGAAAUCCGUUCCGAAGCGGGACCUUCUCUGCGUGGCUGGUCCCGCCGCAGACCGAAAGGGAAUCGGGUUAAUAUUCCCGAACCCGGACACGGAGAUCGACCCCUUACGGGGUUCAGUGCGGUAACGCAAACGACCUCGGAGACGUCGACGGGAGUCCCGGAACGAGUUGUCUUUUCUUUGUAAGGGCUCGGCUCCCUGGAAUCGGCUCGCCCGGAGAUAGGGAUGCUGUACCCGUAAAGCACCGCGCCUCUUGCGGUGUCCGGAGCGCUCCCGUCGGCCCUUGAAAAUCCGAGCGAGAGAUUGUGAUUUUCGUGCCGGACCGUACCCAUA